Molecule: long non-coding RNA, 3053 nt
Organism: Ostrea edulis (European flat oyster)
Lineage: Eukaryota; Metazoa; Mollusca; Bivalvia; Ostreida; Ostreidae
Exons: 3
Source: RefSeq, a predicted model, not a curated record
CAUGAAUGAAAUGCCAAACUCACUGUCUGAACCAAAUUAUCCUGCUGGUUUCACAAUCCCAUUACAUCGAAAUGAUCAUUGUAUUUUCGUCCAACCCCCAACAAAAAUUCGGAAAGUAGACAUUGAUUUGGGGGAGUGGACAUCAACAGGGGGGGGGGGGGGAGCUAAAGUGUUAAGAUGAAAAUGGGGGGGGGGGGGGGGGGGGGGGGGGGCAAGGGAUGUAAUCAAAUUCAUCAGUUAUAGCAUGUAUACCAGAACUAGUAAAUGCAAAAUUGGCUGGAAAAAGAGCAAUAUGGACUUGUAUAAUUAUAUAAAUGUGUAUAUGUUUAAUUUUCAGAAUGCAACGUUGCAGUACAUAUUCACAUAGACAUAUAACGGAUAACAUAUAUCUGUUAUAUGUCUUUGCCCGGGGCAGGGUUGGCAAAAAAGUGGUUGAUAUGAGACCGGUGAUCAAUACUGGUUAAAACUGGUUAAUACAGGUCGAUUGAAAAUUGUUUGGUAUAUAUAAUAUACUUAGAAGUCAUAAUAUUACAUAAAUAAUGUACAAAUGACUCUGUUGAAUUGGGGAGAUGUAAAAGUUUCUGUUCAAAUUCCUUAAUUUAACAAGAACUAACUUAGUAUAAGUAUUGUUUCAUCAAUCUUCAUUUUAACUGUUGAAUACUGUUGAAUAAACAUUUGAGGGUGGGUUAGUGAUGUUUUCAUAACAAUAACAGGUACACUGGUCAUCUCUGGUCCCAACCUAUGCUUAUUAACACCUGUCUACUCUGCUUCCUGGGCUCAGGUAAUGUCCAGCUACCUUUUAUUCUUAAUCUGUCCAGGUACAUGUAUUAAGAGGUCUGUCUCCAGUCAAGCUAUGUUAUAGAACUGUGACCCUCUGGUAGGUGCUGAAGAUAUUUCGGUCAGUUUUAGCAAACCAAAUAUAUCAAACUUAUGAAAUUACAUUUGAUUAUCUAAUGAAAAAUAUUAAUCAGCAAUUGAUCCAUAUAAUGAAAAGACUUAAUUUAUCUUUAUCUUUGCAAGAAAUGUACAAAAAUAGGAAAAUGGACAGUUUAAAUCACAAUUGACCAUUAUUGACCACUUGGGGAGUAUUGAACGGGACGGUUAAAACCACUGGUUAAAACCGAGGGCGGUUUUAACCGCCCAACCCUGCUAUGCCUCUAUGGUAUUCAGAGAUAGAUCAUACUAACUAAUUACUUUUUCUUUAAUUAAGUGAAUUUAUACAUUACUUGUUUCUCCUAACUACUGCUUUAUGGCAUAAAUUGAAGAUUCAGUCUCUGGUGUUGGAGAUCUUUUAUCUUGAAAACAAUAGAUGCUAGUGCCACACAACCAAAGAAUGUAGUUAACAUACUGCUACCUUUGCAUGUAUUAAUUAGCAAAUUAAGGUACUAGUAAAUAUAAAUGUAAGGAACAAAUGUCUAGGGUGUUUUUUAUCUAUUAAAAAGAUUGUAUCAAACUCUAAAUCUGAUAAGUAAAAUUUUGUAAUAUUCCAGCUUCACGAAGUUUAUCCUAUCAUAAUAGAGGUGAUUAGCUACUUUGAACCUACUUUCAUGGAUCUACCAUAUUAUCUUUUUUUUACUAUGGCAUUUGACUUUAUGUUACUUUUCAAAGAAGGUGUAAUUUAUACAUAUAACGUGCAUCACAUGCAAUUUUAAUGAUGCAGGCAAAUAAUUUUGAUGCAAUAUAAUUAAUAAAAGGCAAGCGUGAACUGUAGAUCUACCCAGAUUAGAUUCAAUAAGAAUUGAAGGUCAAAACCAUGGUGGUAACACAAAGCAUCUGCAUACAAGAUUUUUUAGGCUUGUUAAAUGGAAAAAUUAUAUGAAAAUAAUAGUCUCCAGUAAUAUCUACAUUUUAACUCAUAUGAGAAAUCUUAUAACAGUUUCAAUAUUUAGACAGAUCAUAAGAUGGAAACCAAUGUAAUUGAUACGAAAAGGGAGUACAACUCGAAAUAUCAAGGAAAAACAAGAAAGGCCAUUGUGAAUCAGCAGAUGAUGUCCUAUACAACCAUCCUUCCAUGACACAUGCAAUGGGAAGUAUAUUUCAGGAAACAAAGCCUGUCUGAAACUCCAAAAUGACAUUUCCAGAAAGCUGAAGAAUGGAUAAAAAUGUAUCUACCAUCUUACAACCCAGAUUUCAUUCCACUGAAAAGAAAAGGGACAGGAAAUUUUGCAUGUCCAUGUCUUGGAAGGUGAAUAGGUGGAAAGUCAAUAGAUGCUUACCAUAUCAGAUGCUAGCAGAGGAUACUGGGGAUAAAGUAGCAGAAAAUUAUGGAAAACAGGGAAGUGGCAGCCAGGACUAUGGAGGGGAGGUGACAAUGACAGUGAGAUGGCGUUAGGUUGGGCAUCAGAAGGGAAGAAGGCAUUUAAGAGACCGAAAACAACCUGGAGAGGAACAGUAGGAGCAGAAAGAAAGAUUGCAGAAUGGAGAAACUUGAAUGAGAUCAAGAUGAUAGCAAUAGAACAGAGCGGAUUGGAGAGAGUCUCGGUCCUAUGUGUUUUGGCAUGGAGAGAACUAAGUAAUGUCUAGAUUGUUGGAGAUCGGAUGACCAGGAAUAAUUCAAUAUGAAUGAAUGUGCUGGAAACUGUACUAAGACCCUUAUGUAUUUGGAUUGAUUUACAUACCAUCAUGAGUUUGCUAUGAAAAACUUGAAAAAAUCCUCAACUCAUAUUGUAGCUGACAUUAUACAUUUGUACUUAUUUAAAAUAUUUCAAAUGAACAUAUUUUUAGACAUACAAUAUCUAAACUUUGGAGUCCAUGUACAUCUCCACAUUGGAUAAUAGGUUAUGAUAUAUGUGUGUGAAAUCUUUUCCUAUGGUAUGCACAUGUUAACACAUUAGUUUAAAUGAUGAUGUAUAUCUUAUGACUAUGGAAGAGAAUGUGUUCAGAACAGAAUAUGUGUCUAGAAGAGUUGUUGCCCUUGAAUGUAAUUCAUUAUUUACAUGGGGUUGAAAAAUAAUCCAGCACACAGUAGUACUAAAUGCAUUAUGUUAAAAUACAUUUAUGAAUGGUAUAAGUGAUACUGUCAAUUACUGAUUAAUACACUUUGUGAAAUAAUA